GCUGGCGCCAUCGGAAGUUGGUUGACCGCCACUGUAAUCGGCCAGCCUCACGCUUCUCUCGGGACUGAAAUCUCGGAUAUCACGAGUAACGAUGGGUAUGAUUUCAAAUAUGCAACAUUUCCGAUAAAACUCGACUAGUGAGGCAAGGAAAUCCGACAUCGGCGUGACUCGUAAAACACCUUCGGAAGCAGAGCUCCGCUCGCUACUCCGUUUUCGGGGAGAACGGAAAUAGAGUAGCUACGCCAUCAACCCCCGCUCGCCCGUCGUUCCCUAGUGCGCGCAACGCGUUUAUUCUCUGUAUUUCUUAGUAUCGUGUACACAUACGCGUUGCGUUCACGUAAGGAAGCUUGCCCGCUUGCGGUGGGGUUGACGGCAUCGCGGCGGUAUGCGUCUUGGUGGACCCUGGCGUGUGACGCAUCUAAUAUAGCGUCUCCUAUUCUUAAAUCCGUGCGACACCACCUUGAUCGCGAAGCAACGACCAGCAGAUUUCUGACUUAAAUUCAGUCAGAGACUGAAGAGAAGAGGAGACUUUGAUUGCGGUGCAUGAUCCGUACAAAAUCGAGAUUUUGGACAUUAUCCUGUGAUCUCUUCUUCAACACCGUUGUACCUGCGAUGCGUGAUCAGGAA
Molecule: long non-coding RNA, 627 nt
Organism: Acromyrmex echinatior (Panamanian leafcutter ant)
Lineage: Eukaryota; Metazoa; Arthropoda; Insecta; Hymenoptera; Formicidae
Source: RefSeq, a predicted model, not a curated record